GCGAGGUCAGGAGCGGCCUUGCAGAGUUCGCUGGCGCCAGUUGCACGCCAGCCGGCUGCCAGCAUGCGAGCCCCCGCGAGUCUCGUCCUCCUACUCGUCGCCGCCCUCGUCUUAUCCGCCCAGCCAGAGGUCUCAGCGCGAGACGUGACUGGCGUGAACUGCGUGCCUGGAACCAGCUUCACGCAUGGCUGCGAUGUGUGUCGUUGCCGCGCGGAUGGCCACAGCGGCGCCUGCACCAACCGUCACUGCACCAGCGGAGACACCUAGCCUGGAGCCCCGAGCCCCCCAACCUGGAGCCCCCCAGGUCUGGAGCCCCACAGCCUGGAACCGAAUAGCCUGGUGCCCCUAGCCUGGAACCUCUCAUGCUGCUCUAGUGGGUUCCACAUGGUCCUGAGCUGCAUCUGCCACUCUGACAUUUUGCUGUGCAUCUUCCUACUUCUCUGUACAAACUCCAAUAAAUUCAUUAAAGCUGC
Schistocerca nitens (vagrant locust) is the source of this 473-nucleotide long non-coding RNA. RefSeq lists it as uncharacterized. The record is from RefSeq and is a predicted model, not a curated record. Lineage: Eukaryota; Metazoa; Arthropoda; Insecta; Orthoptera; Acrididae. The transcript has 2 exons.